UCUCAGAAGCAGAUGAAGACUGUAAGACUGUCGCUGCUGUGUGUCCUCAGGUAAUGGCCCACAGCACACCUCAAGGCAUCUUGGACGACGUUGCGAUGGUGCUGGAUGAAGAGGCCGAGGUCUUCAUAGUUAAAAUGUGGAGGUUAUUGAUUUACGAAACUGAAGCCAAGAAGAUCGGCCUCGGGAAAUGAACAAGCAGCGAACGCCCAUGAACUUUGCUUUUUACUUCCCCUUUGGGCCGGACAGCUCAUCUAGGUUUCAAAACAACUUGGGGAAACUCGACCAUUUGUGACCUUUGGAGUUAAUUCAUAUUGAGCCGCGUCCCAGACGCCUCCGUAAGAGCAGCAGCAGCAGCAACGAGUGCCGAGAGGAAGAGGUUUGGUUUCUCAGGGCCUUCCUGUUGAAUCCGUCUUCAGCGUAGCUACGUCUCGGCCGCUUAGCGCUUCUUUCUGUGAGGAAGCCAUUGUAAAUUGUUACUGUAAUGAUUGCCAAUCUCGUCUAGGUUGUGAUUUUACUGUUUCUGUUCUUUUGGUCGCCCUCACCAACCGAACCAAAGAGUUUUCCCCAGUUGUUUCUCUAAAACUAAAGCAGUUGUGAUUGGACCCCGACUCUGUUCGGAAGCUCUCGCUAAACUGAUUGACAUCAAAACGAUUGACUGUCUUUGUUUUUGUACUUAUCAGUGGAUGUGUUUUGAAUAAAAGUGAUUCAUUUGUUUAGUUUUUUUAGUAAAA
This is a long non-coding RNA of Sinocyclocheilus grahami, 731 nucleotides long. RefSeq lists it as uncharacterized. The transcript has 2 exons. The record is from RefSeq and is a predicted model, not a curated record. NCBI's taxonomy places the organism in Eukaryota, Metazoa, Chordata, Actinopteri, Cypriniformes, Cyprinidae.